This 450-nucleotide ribosomal RNA is filed under the name uncultured bacterium. Its description in RNAcentral is "partial 16S ribosomal RNA". It matches the Rfam family "Bacterial small subunit ribosomal RNA", at positions 330 to 793 of the family's 1533-position model. The record is from RNAcentral.
GCCAGACUCCUACGGGAGGCAGCAGUGGGGAAUAUUGCACAAUGGGGGAAACCCUGAUGCAGCGACGCCGCGUGAGCGAAGAAGUAUUUCGGUAUGUAAAGCUCUAUCAGCAGGGAAGAAAAAAAUGACGGUACCUGAGUAAGAAGCACCGGCUAAAUACGUGCCAGCAGCCGCGGUAAUACGUAUGGUGCAAGCGUUAUCCGGAUUUACUGGGUGUAAAGGGAGCGUAGGCGGCAAGGCAAGUCUGAUGUGAAAACCCAGGGCCCAACCCUGGGACUGCAUUGGAAACUGUAUUGCUUGGGUACCGGAGAGGCAGGCGGAAUUCCUAGUGUAGCGGUGAAAUGCGUAGAUAUUAGGAGGAACACCAGUGGCGAAGGCGGCCUGCUGGACGGUAACUGACGCUGAGGCUCGAAAGCGUGGGGAGCAAACAGGAUUAGAUACCCCCGUAAG